Molecule: unclassified non-coding RNA, 315 nt
Filed under: fungal sp.
Lineage: Eukaryota; Fungi
Description: partial internal transcribed spacer region
Rfam family: Eukaryotic small subunit ribosomal RNA (bases 1-46)
Source: RNAcentral
AAGUCGUAACAAGGUUUCCGUAGGUGAACCUGCGGAAGGAUCAUUAACACGUAUCCAAACGUAAAAAACCCCCCCCGUGAACAUUCAAUCCUGCUCUUGUAACCCGCGUAGUUCGCAAUCUCUGUUAGUGUCUGAAAGUGUCACUGAUUGUGCAAGGAUAGCGCUUCAACGAUUCCUGUAGACCGUACACUCGGGCAGGAGCUAUGCCAAAGGGUCCCCAUGCCCCCUUAUAACCCCACAGUUUAAUGUGAAGCUCAAUGUAAUACAUUGGGUAAAAAAACCGAACAACUGUUAACAAUGGAUAUCUUGGUUCUC